CAGAGGAGGUUUUGUUGUCUUUUAUUUAUUGUUAAUUCUCCAAACAAUAUCUGUAAAAUCUCUCACUUGAAUGUUUGUGUGCAGUAGUUAAUCAACCUUUCGCCGGUGUAUUCAGUUCUUUCACACACCUUUUCAUGGGAGCAGAAGGUACCUAGCUAAUUCACUAUUUUUUGAACAUGUUACAGUUUUUUCAAGUGCUCACAGAAAAGUUUGUUGUUACUUCAAAAGGUUGUGUUGAUCUGUUGCUUAGUCCAAAAAAAUGAAAUGUAAUAAUCAUGUGGUUCUAGAUGAUUAAAAAUAAGAAGCCGCGUUGGUCUUGAUUUUUUUCGCAUCAUUAUAUUGAGCCUUUUUUAGGAUAACCUUUUUACUGUUGGAAAUCAUGGGCUAAGUUUUGUGUGUACCAGAAACAGAGAACCUUGAUAACUAUAUUGUGGUGCAGAGUUGAAUAUUGUGUGGAGGUUAGUGUUGAAGAAGAUAAGUUCAUUUGUGAGUGCCUUAAUUUUGAACACUCUGAUUUGCUGUGCAGCGACACACUGAAGGUAUUACUAAUGCUACAUUGUACUUACAUUACUUGCUCUGUUAAGCAUGAGAGUUAAUGAUACUUGUGUGUAGUUAUAAUUUUUCUAGGUUGAUGCACACCUCUUUACGUUGAGCUACCUGUUACUUGCAGGCAAACACACUGCACUAGAUGUUUGCUUGCUCCUUCUACUCCUAAUUGCUGCACCAUUAAAGGUCACUGCAUCUGAUAUUGACCAAUUAACAUCAUGCAUGUACUUUCACACGCCUGUGAUGGCAAGAAGGCAUCAGAUGUCUUAGUAUGUUUAUUGCUCCAUGGUGUUGGGAUUAUCUAAUUUUGCUGCACUUACACAGUUUUUGGUUCUGUUGAUCUUAGGUAACUCAGGCUUAAAGUUUCAAAAGCUAGACUGUAGGCGCAUACAUGUGGAUUCAAUCUCUUUUUCUUAAGAGCAACUCCAAUGCAGUGACUCAAAUCGUGCCCGUAUGGGUCGGCCGAGCGGACGGAUUUGCCUAUUUUUUCAUUUGGGUCAUCCAGUGCACCCAACGGUAGCUGACACAUUUUGUGACACGUCUGCCCUGACAUUUUGUCAAACACGUAGCAGGCAGGGGAGCUCGCGGCAGCUUGGCGUGGCGAGGCGAGGCUGGGAUGGGCGUGUGAGUAGUGAGGCGGCCAGGCACGAGGAGGCGAGGCGACCGGGCGCACGAGGCUGCUGGGCACGGCGAGGCGAGGCCGGGCCGGACGCGCGAGCACCUAGCAGGCGUGGCCGCCGCCUGCGUCGACCAGGAGCACACACCCGCGGAGAAAUGCCGUGGCCUGGCGCUGCCCGUCGCGGAGCUCGCGAGGGACUCCUUUGUCAUGGGCGGGCGCUGCCUGUCACGACGCUCGUGAGGUCCAGCUUGGGAUGCAUGGAGUCCAGAGCGCGGCAGAACUGCCCGGCGGCUGUCGAGGUGGGCGAGCACGGCGGUGGCAGCUGCAGCAGCAGCUGCUGCUCAUAAGUCCGCUGUGGUGACUGCGUCUGCUGUUGUUCCUGCUUGCGCGGCAGCGGUGACUGCAGAUGUUGCUCAUGCGUCUGUUGUUCCUGCGUGCGCGGGGGCGCGGAGGUGAUGGCGUUGCGGCGGCGGUGACUGCAUUGGGCAAAUAUUUUCGUCUGCGCAGACACAAACAGACAAAAUGGGUGGGAUUGGUAGCAAAGCUGUUCUGUUGGACUAUGCAGUUCAUUGGCCAUGGAGUUUUUGCGGCAAGUCUCUAUCAAGCUAUUAACGUUAGGUUAAGCACUAUCUGAAGUAAAUUUCUGCCCAAAUAUUAUACUUGACACUUACUCUGACUGUAGAACCGGACACGUGCUCUACUUCAUAGCAUUCUGGUUUUCAUGCAAUGUGCAAAAGCUGAUUAAUGCUAAACGCAGGAGUGGGUGGAUAAGAAAGCAAAUAUAAUGUCUUGAGAAGUGACCAAAAACUCAUGAUGCUAUAUUUGUUGUGUUGUGUAACAGUGUAAGAUGAGAAUGAUUCACCCUGUUUGCUAUCUCUGUGUUACUUCAGAUAAACUAAACCGCAGACUAAUAUCACCCUGA
Molecule: long non-coding RNA, 2087 nt
Organism: Triticum dicoccoides
Lineage: Eukaryota; Viridiplantae; Streptophyta; Magnoliopsida; Poales; Poaceae
Exons: 2
Source: RefSeq, a predicted model, not a curated record